RNAcentral lists this non-coding RNA (25 nucleotides) under Cricetulus griseus (Chinese hamster). Lineage: Eukaryota; Metazoa; Chordata; Mammalia; Rodentia; Cricetidae. The record is from RNAcentral.
UUGUACAUAGACUCCAAGAGCAGAG